UACGUAGGGGGCAAGCGUUAUCCGGAUUUACUGGGUGUAAAGGGAGCGUAGGCGGUGCAGCAAGUCAGAAGUGAAAGCCCGGGGCUCAACUCCGGGACUGCUUUUGAAACUGUUGAACUAGAUUGCAGGAGAGGUAAGUGGAAUUCCUAGUGUAGCGGUGAAAUGCGUAGAUAUUAGGAGGAACACCAGUGGCGGAGGCGGCUUACUGGACUGUAAAUGACGCUGAGGCUCGAAAGCGUGGGGAGCAAACAGG
RNAcentral lists this ribosomal RNA (253 nucleotides) under uncultured bacterium. RNAcentral describes it as "partial 16S ribosomal RNA". It matches the Rfam family "Bacterial small subunit ribosomal RNA", at positions 524 to 776 of the family's 1533-position model. The record is from RNAcentral.